RNAcentral lists this ribosomal RNA (111 nucleotides) under Octodon degus (degu). Lineage: Eukaryota; Metazoa; Chordata; Mammalia; Rodentia; Octodontidae. The record is from RNAcentral.
GUCUCCAGCCAUACCACCCUGAAUGCGCCUGAUCUCAUCUGAUCUCAGAAGUGAAGCAGGGUCGGGCCUGGUUAGUACUUGGAUGGGAGAAAUCUUCAGAUUCAGAAGUAU